AGUNNNNNAGGGUUUCCGCCCUUCAGUGCUGCAGCAAACGCAUUAAGCACUCCGCCUGGGGAGUACGACCGCAAGGUUGAAACUCAAAGGAAUUGACGGGGGCCCGCACAAGCGGUGGAGCAUGUGGUUUAAUUCGAAGCAACGCGAAGAACCUUACCAGGUCUUGACAUCCUUUGACCACUCUAGAGAUAGAGCUUUCCCCUCGGGGGCAAAGUGACAGGUGGUGCAUGGUUGUCGUCAGCUCGUGUCGUGAGAUGUUGGGUUAAGUCCCGCAACGAGCGCAACCCUUAUUGUUAGUUGCCAUCAUUUAGUUGGGCACUCUAGCGAGACUGCCGGUGACAAACCGGAGGAAGGUGGGGAUGACGUCAAAUCAUCAUGCCCCUUAUGACCUGGGCUACACACGUGCUACAAUGGGAAGUACAACGAGUUGCGAAGUCGCGAGGCUAAGCUAAUCUCUUAAAGCUUCUCUCAGUUCGGAUUGUAGGCUGCAACUCGCCUACAUGAAGCCGGAAUCGCUAGUAAUCGCGGAUCAGCACGCCGCGGUGAAUACGUUCCCGGGCCUUGUACACACCGCCCGUCACACCACGAGAGUUUGUAACACCCGAAGUCGNNGNNGUAACCUUUUUGGAGCCAGCCGCCNNNGGUGGGAUAGAUGAUUGGGGUGAAGUCGUAACAAGGUAGCC
RNAcentral lists this ribosomal RNA (683 nucleotides) under uncultured bacterium. Its description in RNAcentral is "bacterial SSU rRNA". It matches the Rfam family "Bacterial small subunit ribosomal RNA", at positions 819 to 1501 of the family's 1533-position model. The record is from RNAcentral.